Molecule: ribosomal RNA, 497 nt
Filed under: uncultured bacterium
Lineage: Bacteria
Description: partial 16S ribosomal RNA
Rfam family: Bacterial small subunit ribosomal RNA
Source: RNAcentral
GAUGAACGCUGGCGGCGUGCCUAAUACAUGCCAGUCGAGCGAACAGACGAGGAGCUUGCUCCUCUGAUGUUAGCGGCGGACGGGGGAGUAACACGUGGAUAACCUACCUAUAAGACUGGGAUAACUUCGGGAAACCGGAGCUAAUACCGGAUAACAUGUUGAACCGCAUGGUUCCACAGUGAAAGAAGGUCUUGCUGUCACUUAUAGAUGGAUCCGCGCCGCAUUAGCUAGUUGGUAAGGUAACGGCUUACCAAGGCAACGAUGCGUAGCCGCCGUGAGAGGGGGAUCCGCCACACUGGAGCUGAGACACGGUCCAGACUCCUACGGGAGGCAGCAGUAGGGAAUCUUCCGCAAUGGGCGAAAGCCUGACGGAGCAACGCCGCGUGAGUGAAGAAGGUCUUCGGAUCGUAAAACUCUGUUAUUAGGGAAGAACAAAUGUGUAAGUAACUAUGCACGUCUUGACGGUACCUGAGCAGAAAGCCACGGCUAAGUUCGUG